GUCACGGUGGCCGAGUGGUUAAGGCGUUGGACUCGAAAUCCAAUGGGCUCUGCCCGCACAGGUUCGAAUCCUGUCCGUGACG
Non-coding RNA from Branchiostoma belcheri (Belcher's lancelet), 82 nucleotides. NCBI's taxonomy places the organism in Eukaryota, Metazoa, Chordata, Leptocardii, Amphioxiformes, Branchiostomatidae. The record is from the annotation of a RefSeq genome assembly.